This is a small nucleolar RNA of Manis pentadactyla (Chinese pangolin), 141 nucleotides long. RefSeq annotates it as small nucleolar RNA SNORA4. NCBI's taxonomy places the organism in Eukaryota, Metazoa, Chordata, Mammalia, Pholidota, Manidae. The record is from RefSeq and is a predicted model, not a curated record. The transcript has a single exon.
CUACCAAAAGUUUUUCAGGGGGAAAGGUUGUUUAAUAACCUUUACCAACCUACACUGUUUGGGAGAAUAAAGAAUAGACCACACUCCACAGUGGGCUGUAUCACUUAACAUAUAGUUCACUACUAUUUUGUGGCCUACAUU